CCCCUCUAGGAAACAGAAACAAUCGGAGCCUCGCCGAUUUCGGAUUGUGAUUCUGUACAAGCCGGUCGUACUCGUCCAUCAUAUUUUCCACAUCCUCGUCUGUUGACACUGAAAUCAAGGCGUCGAGAUCUUCAUUGGGAAGCUGGUACUUUAUGCUCAUGUUAAUUGUACCUAAACAAAAUAAACAAAUUCAAUUCCCCUUUUCGGAACAAGAAUCAAUUCAUAAACCCCCAAAUUUCAAUGAAAAAACAGGGCAUCGAAGUUAAACUUGCCAGUGAUCUUAGCGAGUUUGGCAAGGAAGUGGGAGAAAGUGGUGGAGCGUUGAACAGCAACAAUGCGAGUCUCGCCACCGACGUAUCGGAGUUGAUUAUCGUGCGGUCGGGGUAAGAUAUUGCCACC
This 399-nucleotide long non-coding RNA is filed under the name Cucumis sativus (cucumber). RNAcentral's name for it is "long non-coding RNA (CSAT_LNC002541)". The record is from RNAcentral. Lineage: Eukaryota; Viridiplantae; Streptophyta; Magnoliopsida; Cucurbitales; Cucurbitaceae.